RNAcentral lists this transfer RNA (66 nucleotides) under Mystonectes coelamboides. RNAcentral describes it as "tRNA-Gly". Lineage: Eukaryota; Metazoa; Arthropoda; Insecta; Coleoptera; Dytiscidae. The record is from RNAcentral.
AUUUAUAUAAUAUAAUAAGUAUUUUUGACUUCCAAUCAAACAGUCUAAUUCUUUUUAGUAUAAAUA